This is a long non-coding RNA of Acinonyx jubatus (cheetah), 1898 nucleotides long. RefSeq lists it as uncharacterized. The transcript has 2 exons. The record is from RefSeq and is a predicted model, not a curated record. NCBI's taxonomy places the organism in Eukaryota, Metazoa, Chordata, Mammalia, Carnivora, Felidae.
AGGGGCAGAGAGAGAGGGAGACACAGAAUCCAAAGCAGGCUCCGGGCUCUGAGCUGUCAGCACAGAGCUCGACGUGGGACUUGAACUCACGAACUGUGAGAUCAUGACCUGAACCGAAGUCGGACGUUUAACCGACUGAGCCACCCAGGCGCCCCUAAAUGUUUAUUUUUGAGAGAGGGAGAGCAUGUGCAAGCAGGGGAGGGGCAGCGAGAGGGGGACAGAGGACCUGAAGCAGACCCUGCACUGACAGCAAUGAACCCAAUGUGGGGCUUGAACUCAUGAACUGUGACAUCAUGAUCUGAGCCAAAUCGGACGCUCAACCUACUGAGCCACCCAGGCGCCCCUGAAAAAUAACUUUUAGUUUGGUAAAUAUAUUACCAGGGAACAGCUUAUUUAUUGUUCUUUAUCAAUAAUGAUAAAAUGUAUGAUAAGAUUCGUAACACUUCAAAAGCCCUCUACUCUAAUAAAAGUAUUUAUUUACUUAUACUAGCACUCCAUGAUUUUGUCCGUGUUUAUGACCAAAUGCUGAAUAUAAUAAUUUGAUAGAAAACAAUUUAAAAUACUGAAUGAUUGCAACCAUCCACCAAGUACUUAGAAACUAAGAAACAAAACAUUAUUGCAGAAUUAGGAGUAUCAGCAAAUGUUGAAAAGGCCAUGGUAUAAGUGGCCAGAAGUAUUUGGAGUACAAGAAGCUGAUAUAACACAGUUGUGCUAGAAUGAAAAGUACAAACUUUGUGUUUGAGACUAUUCAUAAAUAAUAAUGAGUCAUUUAUUUUGUCAAAAAAAGAAGUAUAUUGUCUAGAAAUUAAUAAAUAAAAGCCAGUUUCUUACUAGCGUUACUGCAACACUAAAUUAUAUUUUGCGCUGUAUUAUUUGUGAAUCGAGAUAGCCAUUUACAUUUCAAAAGCCCUUUGAAACUAGACAUUAAUAGAAUACAUUAUCACAAGGUGAUAGAACAUGAUUUGUUUCUGAGUUUCCUGCUGAGAUUACUUUAUAUUUACAGCUGUCCAGGACUGCCAUAAAUUAUGUUUGAUCUUUUUUUUAAGUUAACUCUGCGUGUGUGUGUGUGUGUCUGUGUGUGUGUGCGUGUGUAACACUUAUCUGUAAGCACUUUUAUGCAGCGAAAGGGGAAGAAAAUUGUCAUUAUUACUGCAAGGAAAGGCGUCCUACUUAGUAGUACUCUGCAUAGUGUGAGAACUACUGGCCAAGCUGCAUAAAGAUGGUGCAGAGGCAGCUGGAGGGGGGAGGAACCGAGGCUGGGUGUAUGAAGUGCGGAGAGGGUCGAGUCUGGCAGAAGCAAGCUGAGGUGCAGUAUAAGUUGCUAUGUGGGUUAUUGGUGACAUGACUAGAAAGUAGGUUGAGGCCAGAUUGGAAAAAGUUUGGAGUCCUGGGAUCUGGAAUAAGAACCCUGCCAGGCAGUGGUAACCCAUUUUAAGGUGGCAAGGGAAUGAUGUUAUCAGAGUUGCGCUCUGAAAAAUCAGUCUAAUGUUAGUGAGUAGUACGAAUCAGGUAGCAGAGAGACUGGAGUGCGGGGAGGCCAGACAGAUGCGUCAGAAUCGAGUCUUCACAAAAGUACCAAGCCCAGGUCCUACCAGUAGUGAUUCUGAUUCAGUAAGUCUGGAGGGGCCCAGGGGUCUGCAAUACGAACAGGGUCUCCAAGUGAUUCUUAGACCAGUGGGGUGCUGUGUACCCUUUAAGAAACAUCAAGGAAGGGGCACGUGUGUGGCUCAGUAAGUUAACCAUCAGCGUUCGUCUCAGGUCAUGAUCUCUUGGUUUGGUUUGUGAGUUCGAGCCCCAUGUUAGAAACUAUGCUGUUAGCACAGAGUCCGUUUUAGAACCUCUCUCCCUCUCUUUGACCCUCUCCAGCUUGCUGUCUCUCUCUAAAAAACAAAUAAACU